RNAcentral lists this ribosomal RNA (498 nucleotides) under uncultured bacterium. RNAcentral's name for it is "partial 16S ribosomal RNA". It matches the Rfam family "Bacterial small subunit ribosomal RNA", at positions 30 to 523 of the family's 1533-position model. The record is from RNAcentral.
AUUGAACGCUGGCGGCAUGCUUUACACAUGCAAGUCGAACGGUAACAGGCCGCAAGGUGCUGACGAGUGGCGAACGGGUGAGUAAUGCAUCGGAACGUGCCCAGUCGUGGGGGAUAACUAUCCGAAAGGAUAGCUAAUACCGCAUACGAUCUGCGGAUGAAAACGGGGGACCUUCGGGCCUCGUGCGAUUGGAGCGGCCGAUGUCAGAUUAGGUAGUUGGUGGGGUAAAGGCUCACCAAGCCAACGAUCUGUAGCUGGUCUGAGAGGACGACCAGCCACACUGGGACUGAGACACGGCCCAGACUCCUACGGGAGGCAGCAGUGGGGAAUUUAGGACAAUGGGCGCAAGCCUGAUCCAGCAAUGCCGCGUGCAGGAAGAAGGCCUUCGGGUUGUAAACUGCUUUUGUACGGAACGAAACGGCUCUGGUUAAUACCUGGGGCUAAUGACGGUACCGUAAGAAUAAGCACCGGCUAACUACGUGCCAGCCGCCGCAGUAA